GAUGAACGCUGGCGGCGUGCUUAACACAUGCAAGUCGAACGGUGAAGGCGGAGCUUGCUCUGCUGGAUCAGUGGCGAACGGGUGAGUAACACGUGAGCAAUCUGCCCCUGACUCUGGGAUAAGCGCUGGAAACGGCGUCUAAUACUGGAUACGAGCUGCGAAGGCAUCUUCAGCAGCUGGAAAGAACUUCGGUCAGGGAUGAGCUCGCGGCCUAUCAGCUUGUUGGUGAGGUAGCGGCUCACCAAGGCGUCGACGGGUAGCCGGCCUGAGAGGGUGACCGGCCACACUGGGACUGAGACACGGCCCAGACUCCUACGGGAGGCAGCAGUGGGGAAUAUUGCACAAUGGGCGAAAGCCUGAUGCAGCAACGCCGCGUGAGGGACGACGGCCUUCGGGUUGUAAACCUCUUUUAGCAGGGAAGAAGCGAAAGUGACGGUACCUGCAGAAAAAGCGCCGGCUAACUACGUG
RNAcentral lists this ribosomal RNA (468 nucleotides) under uncultured bacterium. RNAcentral describes it as "partial 16S ribosomal RNA". It matches the Rfam family "Bacterial small subunit ribosomal RNA", at positions 28 to 507 of the family's 1533-position model. The record is from RNAcentral.